GUCUAAGUGAUCAAACUACAAUUAGGGUCUAAUUGAUUAGAUCAGGCUAGAAUCUAUUUUCGAUUUUGAGCAGUUGAUUGAACCUAAUCGAUGGUUGAUUAGGAUUAGAUCAAAGGGACUCAAAGUUGAGUUUAGUUGUAGUUGGUUGCAUCGAUUCAUAUUUUGAUGUGAAUUGAUUGAUUCAAGAUCGAAUUUAGCUUAGUGAUUCAGGCC
This 213-nucleotide long non-coding RNA is filed under the name Elaeis guineensis (African oil palm). Its description in RNAcentral is "long non-coding RNA (EGUI_LNC063733)". The record is from RNAcentral. Lineage: Eukaryota; Viridiplantae; Streptophyta; Magnoliopsida; Arecales; Arecaceae.